Molecule: ribosomal RNA, 433 nt
Filed under: uncultured bacterium
Lineage: Bacteria
Description: partial 16S ribosomal RNA
Rfam family: Bacterial small subunit ribosomal RNA
Source: RNAcentral
AACGAACGCUGGCGGCAUGCCUAACACAUGCAAGUCGAACGAGACCUUCGGGUCUAGUGGCGCACGGGUGCGUCACGCGUGGGAACCUGCCCUUAGGCUCGGAAUAACUCCCCGAAAGGGGUGCUAAUACCGGAUAAUGUCUUCGGAUCAAAGAUUUAUCGCCUUUGGAUGGGCCCGCGUUGGAUUAGCUUGUUGGUAGGGUAAAAGCCUACCAAGGCGACGAUCCAUAGCUGGUCUGAGAGGAUGAUCAGCCACACUGGGACUGAGACACGGCCCAGACUCCUACGGGAGGCAGCAGUGGGGAAUAUUGGACAAUGGGCGAAAGCCUGAUCCAGCAAUGCCGCGUGAGUGAUGAAGGCCUUAGGGUUGUAAAGCUCUUUUACCCGGGAUGAUAAUGACAGUACCGGGAGAAUAAGCUCCGGCUAACUCCGUG